RNAcentral lists this ribosomal RNA (765 nucleotides) under uncultured Treponema sp. Its description in RNAcentral is "bacterial SSU rRNA". It matches the Rfam family "Bacterial small subunit ribosomal RNA", at positions 28 to 776 of the family's 1533-position model. Lineage: Bacteria; Pseudomonadati; Spirochaetota; Spirochaetia; Treponematales; Treponemataceae. The record is from RNAcentral.
AACGAACGCUGGCGGCGCGUCUUAAACAUGCAAGUCGAACGGUAAGGAAGGAGCUUGCUCCUUUCUGAGAGUGGCGGACUGGUGAGUAACACGUGGGUGACAUACCUUUUAGAUGGGGAUAGCUAUUAGAAAUAGUAGGUAAUACCGAAUGUGACCGUAUCUGUUAGAGGGAUACGAGGAAAGGAGCUAAGGCUUCGCUAAAAGAAUGGCCCGCGGCCCAUUAUGCUUGUUGGUGAGGUAACGGCCCACCAAGGCGAUGAUGGGUAUCCGGCCUGAGAGGGUGGACGGACACAUUGGGACUGAGAUACGGCCCAGACUUCUACGGGAGGCAGCAGUUAAGAAUAUUCCGCAAUGGACGAAAGUCUGACGGAGCGACGCCGCGUGGAUGAAGAAUGCCGAAAGGUUGUAAAAUCCUUUUAAGCCUGAGGAAUAAGCACAGUAGGGAAUGAUUGUGUGGUGACUGUAGGGCUUGAAUAAGCACCAGCAAAUUACGUGCCAGCAGCCGCGGUAACACGUAAGGUGCGAGCGUUGUUCGGAAUUAUUGGGCGUAAAGGGCAUGUAGGCGGAUGAGCAAGCUUGGUGUGAAAUGCUACAGCUUAACUGUGGGACAGCAUUGAGAACUGCACAUCUUGAAUUACUGAAGGGUAACUAGAAUUCCACGUGUAGGGGUGAAAUCUGUAGAUAUGUGGAAGAAUACCAAUGGCGAAGGCAAGUUACCGGCAGAUAAUUGACGCUGAGGUGCGAAAGUGCGGGGGAGCGAACAGG